Molecule: ribosomal RNA, 460 nt
Filed under: uncultured bacterium
Lineage: Bacteria
Description: partial 16S ribosomal RNA
Rfam family: Bacterial small subunit ribosomal RNA
Source: RNAcentral
CCUACGGGUGGCUGCAGUGAGGAAUAUUGGUCAAUGGGCGCGAGCCUGAACCAGCCAAGUAGCGUGAAGGAUGAAUGCCCUACGGGUUGUAAACUUCUUUUAUAAAGGAAUAAAGUGAGGAACGUGUGCCUUUUUGUAUGUACUUUAUGAAUAAGGAUCGGCUAACUCCGUGCCAGCAGCCGCGGUAAUACGGAGGAUCCGAGCGUUAUCCGGAUUUAUUGGGUUUAAAGGGAGCGUAGAUGGGUUGUUAAGUCAGUUGUGAAAGUUUGCGGCUCAACCGUAAAAUUGCCGUUGAUACUGGCAGCCUUGAGUACAGUUGAGGUAGGCGGAAUGCGUGGUGUAGCGGUGAAAUGCUUAGAUAUCACGAAGAACUCCGAUUGCGAAGGCAGCUUACUAAACUGCCACUGACAUUGAUGCUCGAAAGUGUGGGUAUCAAACAGGAUUAGAUACCCUAGUAGUC